Molecule: ribosomal RNA, 492 nt
Filed under: uncultured Glomus
Lineage: Eukaryota; Fungi; Glomeromycota; Glomeromycetes; Glomerales; Glomeraceae
Description: SSU rRNA
Rfam family: Eukaryotic small subunit ribosomal RNA
Source: RNAcentral
CUCCAAUAGCGUAUAUUAAAGUUGUUGCAGUUAAAAAGCUCGUAGUUGAAUUUCGGGAUCAAUACGUCGGUCGUGCUUUCGGGUACGUACUGGCGUCAUUGGUUUCUCCUUUCUGACGAACCAUGAUGUCAUUAAUUUGGUGUUAUGGGGAGUUAGGACUGUUACUUUGAAAAAAUUAGAGUGUUUAAAGCAGGCAUUAGCUUGAAUACAUUAGCAUGGAAUAAUGAAAUAGGACGUUCGAUCCUAUUUUGUUGGUUUCUAGGAUCAACGUAAUGAUUAAUAGGGAUAGUUGGGGGCAUUAGUAUUUAAUUGUCAGAGGUGAAAUUCUUGGAUUUAUUGAAGACUAACUACUGCGAAAGCAUUUGCCAAGGAUGUUUUCAUUAAUCAAGAACGAAAGUUAGGGGAUCGAAGACGAUCAGAUACCGUCGUAGUCUUAACCAUAAACUAUGCCGACUAGGGAUCGGAUGAUGUUAAUUUUUUAAUGACUCAUUC